This 462-nucleotide ribosomal RNA is filed under the name uncultured bacterium. Its description in RNAcentral is "partial 16S ribosomal RNA". It matches the Rfam family "Bacterial small subunit ribosomal RNA", at positions 338 to 795 of the family's 1533-position model. The record is from RNAcentral.
CCUACGGGUGGCAGCAGUGAGGAAUAUUGGUCAAUGGACGCAAGUCUGAACCAGCCAAGUAGCGUGCAGGAUGACGGCCCUCCGGGUUGUAAACUGCUUUUAGUUGGGAAUAAACGGGGGCUCGUGAGCCCCGUAUUGUAUGUACCAUCAGAAAAAGGACCGGCUAAUUCCGUGCCAGCAGCCGCGGUAAUACGGAAGGUCCGGGCGUUAUCCGGAUUUAUUGGGUUUAAAGGGAGCGUAGGCCGGCUUUUAUGUCAGCUGUGAAAGUCCGCGGCUCAACCGGGGAAUUGCAGUUGAGACGGGAGGCCUAGAGUGCACACAGGGAGGCCGGAAUUCAUGGUGUAGCGGUGAAAUGCUUAGAUAGCAGGCAGAACCCCGAUUGCGAAGGCAGCCUGCCAGGCCAUGACUGACGCUGAUGCACGAAAGCGUGGGGAUCAAACAGGAUUAGAUACCCCAGUAGUC